RNAcentral lists this unclassified non-coding RNA (380 nucleotides) under uncultured bacterium. Its description in RNAcentral is "contains 16S-23S intergenic spacer region". The record is from RNAcentral.
UCCGAUUUGUCACCGGCAGUCUCCUAUGAGUCCCCGUCUUUCACGCUGGCAACAUAGGACAGGGGUUGCACUCGUUGCGGGACUUAACCCAACAUCUCACGACACGAGCUGACGACAGCCAUGCAGCACCGUCUCACAGAUUCUCCGAAGAGCACCCCUCCAUCUCUGGAAAGUUCUCGACAUGUCAAGGCCAGGUAAGGUUCUUCGCGUUGCAUCGAAUUAAACCACAUACUCCACCGCUUGUGCGGGCCCCCGUCAAUUCCUUUGAGUUUCAGUCUUGCGACCGUACUCCCCAGGCGGAUGACUUAACGCGUUAGCUCCGGCACAUCGGGACUAAAAACCCGACACACCAAGUCAUCAUCGUUUAAGGCUAGGACUAC